Molecule: long non-coding RNA, 466 nt
Organism: Gorilla gorilla gorilla (western lowland gorilla)
Lineage: Eukaryota; Metazoa; Chordata; Mammalia; Primates; Hominidae
Exons: 3
Source: RefSeq, a predicted model, not a curated record
UAAUUUUUUGUAUUUUUAGUAGAGACGGGGUUUCACCGUGUUAGCCAGGAUGGUCUCAAUCGCCUGACCUCGUGAUCCGCCCACCUUGGCCUGAUGUGUUGGUUUUAUAAAGGGGAGUUUCUCUGCACAAGCUGUCUCUCUUUGCCUGCCGCCAUCCACGUAGUAAACGUGACUUGAUCCUCCUUGCCUUCCGCCAUGAUUGUAAGGCCUCCCCAGCCACAUGGAACUGCAACAGAGGAAACUUGAAAUCUGUAAGUGUGAUAAAAAUUGCAAGUACUGUUGACUCAGAUGUACUGAGAGGUUCACAUUAUCACUGCCAAGUCUGCUACGUUGCCUACAAAGGAAUCCACACACCAACACCGGUGAAGAUGCAAUGAGAAAGCACAGUCUUUGAAGCAAGAGAGAGCCCUUACGAGAUGCUGCAUCUGCUAGUGCCCUGACAUGGGACUUUCCAACCUUCAAAACU